UACGAAGGGGGCUAGCGUUGCUCGGAAUCACUGGGCGUAAAGCGCACGUAGGCGGCUUCUUAAGUCAGGGGUGAAAUCCUGGAGCUCAACUCCAGAACUGCCUUUGAUACUGAGGAGCUUGAGUCCGGGAGAGGUGAGUGGAACUCCGAGUGUAGAGGUGAAAUUCGUAGAUAUUCGCAAGAACACCAGUGGCGAAGGCGGCUUACUGGUCCGGUUCUGACGCUGAGGCGCGAAAGCGUGGGGAGCAAACAGG
Molecule: ribosomal RNA, 253 nt
Filed under: uncultured bacterium
Lineage: Bacteria
Description: partial 16S ribosomal RNA
Rfam family: Bacterial small subunit ribosomal RNA
Source: RNAcentral